ACUGAAUAGAUACCCGGGUAGUCCACGCCGUAAACGAUGGUCACUAGGUGUGUGCGGUAUCGACCCCGCACGUGCCGCAGCUAACGCAAUAAGUGACCCGCCUGGGGAGUACGGCCGCAAGGUUGAAGCUCAAAGGAAUUGACGGGGGCCCGCACAAGCGGUGGAGCAUGUGGAUUAAUACGUCACUAACCGUAGAACCUUACCCAGGCUUGACAUCCCGGGAACCCUUCUGAAAGGAAGGGGUGCCUCGCAAGAGGAGCCCGGAGACAGGUGUUGCAUGGCUGUCGUCAGCUCGUGUCGUGAGAUGUUGGGUUAAGUCCCGCAACGAGCGCAACCCUCACCGUAUGUUGCCAGCGUCAAGUCGGGCACUCUUACGGAACUGCCCGCGCAAGCGGAGGAAGGUGGGGACGACGUCAAGUCAGCAUGGCCCUUACGCCUGGGGCUUCACACAUGCUACAAUGGCCGGUACAGAGGGUCCCGAUACCGUGA
RNAcentral lists this ribosomal RNA (489 nucleotides) under uncultured bacterium. RNAcentral's name for it is "bacterial SSU rRNA". It matches the Rfam family "Bacterial small subunit ribosomal RNA", at positions 772 to 1260 of the family's 1533-position model. The record is from RNAcentral.